This 253-nucleotide ribosomal RNA is filed under the name uncultured bacterium. RNAcentral describes it as "partial 16S ribosomal RNA". It matches the Rfam family "Bacterial small subunit ribosomal RNA", at positions 524 to 776 of the family's 1533-position model. The record is from RNAcentral.
UACGUAGGGGGCAAGCGUUGUCCGGAAUCAUUGGGCGUAAAGCGCGUGUAGGCGGUCCGGUAAGUCCGCUGUGAAAACCCGAGGCUUAACCUCGGGACGCCGGCGGAAACCAUCUGGCUAGAGUCCGGAAGAGGAGAGUGGAAUUCCUGGUGUAGCGGUGAAAUGCGCAGAUAUCAGGAAGAACACCCAUGGCGAAGGCAGCUCUCUGGGACGGUACUGACGCUGAGACGCGAAAGCGUGGGGAGCGAACGGG